GACGAACGCUGGCGGCGUGCUUAGCACAUGCAAGUCGAACGGAAAGGCCCUGCUUUUGUGGGGUGCUCGAGUGGCGAACGGGUGAGUAACACGUGAGUAACCUGCCCUUGACUUUGGGAUAACUUCAGGAAACUGGGGCUAAUACCGGAGAGGAGCUCCUGCUGCAUGGUGGGGGUUGGAAAGUUUCGGCGGUGGGGGAUGGACUCGCGGCUUAUCAGCUUGUUGGUGGGGUAGUGGCUUACCAAGGCUUUGACGGGUAGCCGGCCUGAGAGGGUGACCGGCCACAUUGGGACUGAGAUACGGCCCAGACUCCUACGGGAGGCAGCAGUGGGGAAUAUUGCACAAUGGGCGGAAGCCUGAUGCAGCAACGCCGCGUGCGGGAUGACGGCCUUCGGGUUGUAAACCGCUUUCGCCUGUGACGAAGCGUGAGUGACGGUAAUGGGUAAAGAAGCACCGGCUAACUACGUG
This 468-nucleotide ribosomal RNA is filed under the name uncultured bacterium. RNAcentral's name for it is "partial 16S ribosomal RNA". It matches the Rfam family "Bacterial small subunit ribosomal RNA", at positions 28 to 507 of the family's 1533-position model. The record is from RNAcentral.